This 253-nucleotide ribosomal RNA is filed under the name uncultured bacterium. RNAcentral's name for it is "partial 16S ribosomal RNA". It matches the Rfam family "Bacterial small subunit ribosomal RNA", at positions 524 to 776 of the family's 1533-position model. The record is from RNAcentral.
UACGAAGGGGGCUAGCGUUGUUCGGAAUCACUGGGCGUAAAGGGCUCGUAGGCGGCCAACUAAGUCAUACGUGAAAUCCCUCGGCUUAACCGGGGAACUGCGUCUGAUACUGGAUGGCUUGAAUCCGGGAGAGGGAUGCAGAAUUCCAGGUGUAGCGGUGAAAUGCGUAGAUAUCUGGAGGAAUACCGGUGGCGAAGGCGGCAUCCUGGACCGGCAUUGACGCUGAGGAGCGAAAGCUAGGGGAGCAAACGGG